Long non-coding RNA from Octopus sinensis (East Asian common octopus), 128 nucleotides. RefSeq lists it as uncharacterized. The transcript has 3 exons. Lineage: Eukaryota; Metazoa; Mollusca; Cephalopoda; Octopoda; Octopodidae. The record is from RefSeq and is a predicted model, not a curated record.
AGAGUAUGUAUCAAAAAUAGACCCACAUAGAUUGCACAUCCGAUUUGGAUCACCAAGGGCUGCAGACAAGUUCUGAUCUUUGUGGAUCUUUAAAUGUCUUUUGAGGCCUUCAUUAGAUUUGCAAACCU